CGGUUGAUCCUGCCGGACCUGACUGCUAUCGGAUUGAUACUAAGCCAUGCGAGUCAUUGUAGCGAUACAAGGCAUACGGCUCAGUAACGCGUAGUCAACCUAACCUAUGGACGGGAAUAACCUCGGGAAACUGAGAAUAAUGCCCGAUAGAACACUAUACCUGGAAUGGUUUGUGUUCCAAAUGAUUUAUCGCCAUAGGAUGGGACUGCGGCCUAUCAGUUUGUUGGUGAGGUAAUGGCCCACCAAGACUAUUACAGGUACGGGCUCUGAGAGGAGUAGCCCGGAGAUGGGUACUGAGACACGGACCCAGGCCCUAUGGGGCGCAGCAGGCGAGAAAACUUUGCAAUGUGCGAAAGCACGACAAGGUUAAUCCGAGUGAUUUGUGCUAAACGAAUCUUUUGUUUGUCCUAGAAACACUAACGAAUAAGGGGUGGGCAAGUUCUGGUGUCAGCCGCCGCGGUAAAACCAGCACCUCAAGUGGUCAGGAUGAUUAUUGGGCCUAAAGCAUCCGUAGCCGGCUCUGUAAGUUUUCGGUUAAAUCUGUACGCUUAACGUACAGGCUGCCGGGAAUACUGCAAAGCUAGGGAGUGGGAGAGGUAGACGGUACUCGGUAGGAAGUGGUAAAAUGCUUUGAUCUAUCGAUGACCACCUGUGGCGAAGGCGGUCUACCAGAACACGUCCGACGGUGAGGGAUGAAAGCUGGGGGAGCAAACCGGAUUAGAUACCCGGGUAGUCCCAGCUGUAAACUAUGCAAACUCAGUGAUGCAUUGGCUUGUGGCCAAUGCAGUGCUGCAGGGAAGCCGUUAAGUUUGCCGCCUGGGAAGUACGUACGCAAGUAUGAAACUUAAAGGAAUUGGCGGGGGAGCACCACAAGGGGUGAAGCCUGCGGUUCAAUUGGAGUCAACGCCGGG
RNAcentral lists this ribosomal RNA (911 nucleotides) under uncultured crenarchaeote. RNAcentral describes it as "bacterial SSU rRNA". It matches the Rfam family "Archaeal small subunit ribosomal RNA", at positions 5 to 922 of the family's 1478-position model. Lineage: Archaea; Thermoproteati; Thermoproteota. The record is from RNAcentral.